RNAcentral lists this long non-coding RNA (360 nucleotides) under Homo sapiens (human). RNAcentral describes it as "non-protein coding lnc-GMDS-7:1". Lineage: Eukaryota; Metazoa; Chordata; Mammalia; Primates; Hominidae. The record is from RNAcentral.
CACAACUGGAGCUGGAGCAGCUAGGACACAGGGAGCAGUGUCCCAAGGUUGUGCCUGGCAGCAGGGCCCUGGACCUGGCCUGCAAGACCAUUCUUCCUUCCUAGGCCUCUGGGCCUGUUACAGGAGGGGCUGCUGCAAAGGUCUCUGAAAUGCCUUCGAGGCACUUUCCCCAUUGUCUUGGCUGUUAACAUUCAGCUCUUCUUUACUUAUGCAAAGUUCUGCAGUCAGCUUGAAUUCCUCCCCAGAAAAUGGAUUUGUCUUUUCUACUACAUGGCCAGACUUCAAAUUUUCCAAACUGUUACCCUCUGCUCCCCUUUCAAAUAUAAGUUCCAGUUUCAGGUCAUUUGUUUGCUCACAAAU